GCCGUGUUCUUUUUUGGUAUUGAAAUCCUUAAGCAAAGAUUGAUUUAAGCUGCUUUUGUAUCGAUAUAAGCAGACCAAAUUGGCUGGCGGGAGAUGAAAAGGGCAUCGUAGUAACCGGAUGAUCAUAAUAACCGGGUAUCGUACUAACGGAAGACUAGAAAUUUGCCGGGAAAUGAAAAUAGUAUCGUAAUAAGCAGUACUUCGAUAUAACGAGACUUUACUGUAACAAAAGUUUUAAUAAAAAUUAAAGACCAUAAAUUGACACCUGCUAGCAAGCCAAGCUAACCAGCAAACUGAGAAAUAAAGAGAAAUCAUACCAGCCCUGGAAAUCCGGGUCCAAAAUCCAAAACAGGACCAGUCAGUCUGUUGGAUGACGAGGGUGGUGCCUUCGAUGUAAAACCAGUUACAGAAUUAUAUAAACUUUGUGAGAAUAGAAACCUGAUUUUAUUUCAAGCGGAAUAUGACAGAGCUACUGGAGGAAACUAGCACAAAUAAGGAAAGCUUGAAGAGACCUGCGAACACAGACUGGAAUUGUACAAUUUUCGAACAUCAGCCUCAAAAAGAUCCAUGAGGAAGUCAUAAACCUUAAGGAGGAAAAUAGAGCACUGCGCCAUUAUAUUAAGGUUCUACAGGAUGAUGUCAAGGUACUACUGGAUGAUACCGCUGCUUUACCACCACUCUUUAAAGACGAGAAAGCAAAUGAAAAAUACAAUUGAUGAGAUGAUCAGAAUACAUAAGCGAACAAUGCAAUGCUCACGGAGGACGAAGCAGAUGAAAUAGAUGUUGCUGCAACAAAUGUCCAAUUUCCUACAAUGAAAGGAGGAGGAUGUUGAUACUUACAUCCCAUUGUAUGGCAGUGCACUCUUAAAAAUGCUGGGUUAUUUUUUUGACCCAAUCGCUGGGUUGAGCCUGUUGGGUCAUUUAAUUGGGUUAUUUUUAUUGAGUUGGGUAUUCUGAGAACCCAAUUCGCUGGGUUAUCUCUGUUGGGUGCUGAGUUAUUUGCUGCUGGGUUGUGAUUUCCAUUAUAUUGUGCUGGGUUAUUUUGGACAACCCAAAGCGUUGGGUAGAAUUUUGAACACGAGCAACAAAGCCCCGCCCACAAACUGACUUCGUUCGGACCCCACAUUUCAUCUGAGGAGACCAAUUUCAGCACGGAGCAAGGUUUGUUACAUGCCCACUAUUGUUUUACCGUAGAAUUGACUUUAUAUUAUUAUAUAAAGCUUCAUAAACUUGUUAAAAUGUAAGUUCGUGAAGCACUGUUGAGUACUAGCUUCAGGAAUGGAUCGGUAACCUUAGCAAACUUCCAUUCCCUCCAAAAGUGGCAAGCGAACACAUUCGCUGGCGAGCUAUGUAGGAACCAAACUAUGUUGUUGAAGUUACAAGAGACAUGCACUAUGUGUGAUAGUUAUGAGGACAACGUCAGUUAUCUCGUUAAUUUGCAAUUUUAUGUGAUAUCAAGUUAAAGAAUCUCGUGAAUUAAUACGAGCGUGCUGAUGAACCGGUGUUUUUUUUUCACGCUAGACUGCUGCAUGCUAGCGGGCUUCCGUUAGCCACGGAUAGUCCACUGUAUACUUAGCAGUUUCAACUAGUUUGGGCGCGAAUUCGACGACAGUUUUGUAAGUCGCAUAUAAAUGUGGAGAAUACGUUUGGACUACUGAAUCUUAUUUCAUUUCAUGGUAUGUUUGUUCUUAUGGACCCUCUUUGUGAUGUUUCAGUUCGCUGAAAAGCAUCUAUGGAUGAGUUUGUCAGUUCCAACUUGACUGAGUGGCAGCUAUCGGGGCUGAUUGAAAGAUGCCAGGGGAGAAGUCGCCCUGACGCUUCUGCCCAUCCUGCUCCCUCCGCCUGUGUUUAAAAAGGGCAGGAAAUUGGUCCGGGCGAGUAUUCAGGAGGUGAAGAGAGCCUUCCUCGAUGUUAAGCCCGUCGGAGCUAACAUGGUGGAAUACUUGCAGCAGGCAGAAUCGCCUCCCCAUUUGUGCUGCUGCUCACAGAGCCUCUUGUUCUAUGUAUAUAUCACUCUCUCAUAGCUGUCCCCCUCACUUGCUCUUAAAAUGUUAUUUUUUUUGUACAUAAUUUGUUCAUAUGUGAAGGAAAUGUUGUGAGUUGUUAUAUUUGUAUGUUCUGGAAUUUUGAAUUUUAAUAAAUAUUUUAUUGUUACAUUGGUGUCAUUAUCAUUGUAAUAUAUUAUUAAUAGUAUUAGCAUACAAUAAAAAUAAAUAAAUAAUAAUUUAAAAAAAAUAUAUAUAUAUACAUAUAUAGAAAUAUAUAUGGUAUAUUGGCAACCCAACUUGCUGGGUUGAAAUAACCCAGCCGUGUAGUAAAUAUGAACCCAGCGUUGGGUCAUUUGAACAACCCAAUGUACAACCCAAUUGUUGGGUUAAGAGAACCAACCCAACUUGUUGGGUUAAAAUAACCCAACGCGAGGUUGGUCCUAUAUUUAACCAGCGUUGGGUUGGGAAACAACCCAUAUUGGGUUGUUUUUAACCCAGCAUUUUUAAGAGUGUGGGACGCACCAACGGGGAAUUCAAAACUGCACUACUGAAACAUGUAAAGACGCUCAAAGUUCCAAACUUAUUUUUACACUUGGAUGACAAUUUAAAAUGUUACGUAAAAAAGUCAACCUGUAUGGUUAAAAAUGUUUUUUUAUGCGGGACAGUGAGUAAGACUUGCUCAUUUUAGUGAAUGGUGUCAUCAUGCCUAAAAAAAAAAAAUAAAUAAUCAAGUGACACCCAUUCUAAAAAGCCUCCGCUGCCAGUGGGAUGAUUUCACAGAUGCGUUAACGCUCUCCUUCCAUUGCGGCGGCUCUCCGACUUGGUGGUGGGGGGGCGGGCGUAGUCGUCGGGUGCGUCCUGUGUGCUCGCUUCCCAUUCAAAUUAGGAAAGACGCCGGCAGGCUGCAUCGAGUCAGGCCUGAAGUGCUGGUGUUACACAACAGCAGAGGAGGGAACCGUCGUUAACGGCGCUACCUCCCUCCUCGUCGGGGGGGGGCCGCCGCGCUCCCGACCGCAGGCGAGCAAAAAAAGGUCAGGAGCUUUUGAAGGUGAAGUGCAGUCGCCAUAGUAACAAAUGUUGUCUCCCCUGUCUCCUAGCAACGGGAUGUGGAGUGAUGUCAAUGGAAAGCAUGUUAUUUUCUCCCGCUGACAGAAUGUCACUGCUUCGUGUGUGUGUGUGAGCAUCUCUGCCCUGCUAAGGGAAUGGAAAGGGGGGGUGUGAUGUUGUGACAUCCCUGGGAGUCAAUGAUAAACUAAAAUAUCCACAGGGAGGGGGAUGAUUCAUGUGCCAAUUAGGGAUCCAAUUGUUGCUACUGGCUCUUUUUUUGGCAUCAUCCUCCGCAUUCAGGAAUAACCUCAAAUUUUACUCAUGCAUCAUGUGUGAUCACAAGUCUUCUGCUAUUAAACGUAGGAUGGAUGAUAGCAAUGGGAAUAAUUGGGAAUAAUUCACCGUGUCGAACUGAUUGGGAAACUGGGCCACUGGAGCUAGGGUCUGGGCGAGGCUGGGCCGCAUCAGGUUUUCAAAAAAAAAAAAAAAAAAAAACGCAUUUAUUAAAAACAGAAAAAUGAAUAAACUUUGCUUUGGUUCCGAUUUUCUACAAUAAAAGCUCUGAUAAAACAUUCCACUGUUCUCAAAUAUCUUAAUUUUUAUUUUUCUACACAAAAGAUGAAAAAUAAAUAAAUCAAGAAUAAAGAAAAUCAAUCAGUAAUAAAUAAAUAUAAUAAUAAUAAUAAAACGGCAAAUAAUAAAAACUUAAGAAACCACAUAUAGUUGGUGGGUAGACAAAUGAUUUUUUUCAGAUUAAAAUGAACAAAGCAUUAUUAGAGCCCUGUAGACAUGACAAAACACGACUAUAGUCACAUUUAUACUCCUUUUAUUUACAACAUAUUGCAAACUAGAUAGCUAGCGACCUAAACAGUAGCCUCCAAGUUAUUUUCUUUAAACUUAAAAAGCCAAAAACUUACCACUUCCACACGGAUAGGGAGGAUAACUAUUAACAGUUAUUUAACCUUUAACAUGAACAUUAAUCAAACGUAGUAAUUUUUUCUGGGUACAUGAUACCAUACAGCAUCCAUAUCAAACUUGCGCCGGCCGCACUAACAUUGAACUUUCAUAUCAAGGCGGGGGCCUCAAACUAGUGUCCUGCGGGCCACAUUUGGCGUGUUUGAGACCCCUGCUCUAAAGUCAAACAAAAUCUAAAGCAGGAGUCACCAACCGGUCGAUCAUGAGAAUAUUAGAAAAAAAUGUAGUAUAUCAGUGCCCUCCCGUCCCAGAGAGUGACAGACACACAUUUUGACAACUGAACACACCCUCCAGACACCCAACCAGCAAGAUCCAGCCAGGAGCCCGGUCUCUAAAACCCAUCCAGAGGUACCAUGUACACUGGUACCAUGUACACUGGCUCUCCAACAAGCAAUAACAAGCGCUCAGCUGACAUUGGAACACAUUGACCAGCCUCUCUCUCCUCAACCACCAUCGCUUGCCCACGAUACUGAGCCAACAAGCUUGAGUUGUACUUUGCUCAAUAGAGCCCACGCCGCAAGCCCCGACCCCAACGAAGAUCCACAAAAGUAGGGGUGGCCUAAGAGCAAAAGGCAUAAUGACAAAUGGCUGACAUGUUGAUGCCAACAAGCAAUAAUAACACAAAGCUUUGUAUUUCAAGACAAAGCUUUAAAUAUGUGGUCGUUGUGUUUUUAGUAUUGAACUUAAAAACGGUGACUCCAGUUCUUGUAAAAGCAUGGUGGUACUAACCUGGCUUCCAACACAGCAAAUCAAUAAUGUAUCGAUACGAGCCAUUAUGAGUACAAAUAAUAUGUGUACUUAAGCUAAUUGUACUUUUUUCAUGAAAUGAAGCGUUGUCAAGCAUAAAAACGGCUAAAUAUCUAGUAUUCUACACUAUAGUCACUAAGUAUCAGUAAUGGUACUGUAAUGUUCGGGGAGACAGUCAAGCACCAGACUUGAUCACAGGAAUGGCAUCAUCUCACAACAAGCACAGGCUACUCUCAACCCCCGACUCAGACCCCCCCUGGCACCGGAACACAUUUGCUUACUUAUUUAUCUUUCUUAUUGUCUGUUACUAUAUCUACUAUGUUAGGGAAUGGGAGUGCAAAGAUGACUAUAGGGGAGUUAUUUCAUGUCUCUAAUAAUAUUAAAAACAGUAUUUAGAAGCCACCCUCGGGCAUCU
Molecule: non-coding RNA, 5172 nt
Organism: Doryrhamphus excisus (bluestripe pipefish)
Lineage: Eukaryota; Metazoa; Chordata; Actinopteri; Syngnathiformes; Syngnathidae
Source: RefSeq, a predicted model, not a curated record